RNAcentral lists this transfer RNA (75 nucleotides) under Blastocatellia bacterium AA13. RNAcentral describes it as "tRNA-Thr". It matches the Rfam family "tRNA". From Rfam's summary of the family: Transfer RNA (tRNA) molecules are approximately 80 nucleotides in length. RNAcentral also lists the same sequence under 1 other name. Lineage: Bacteria; Pseudomonadati; Acidobacteriota; Blastocatellia. The record is from RNAcentral.
GCCGGCGUAGCUCAGUGGUAGAGCGCAGCUUUGGUAAAGCUGAGGUCAUGGGUUCAAUCCCCAUCGCCGGCUCCA